GAUGAAGAACGUAGCGAAAUGCGAUAAGUAGUGUGAAUUGCAGAAUUCAGUGAAUCAUCGAAUCUUUGAACGCACAUUGCGCCCUCUGGUAUUCCGGGCGGCAUGCCUGUUCGAGCGUCAUUAUAACCACUCAAGCUCUCGCUUGGUAUUGGGGUUCGCGGUUCCGCGGCCCCUAAAAUCAGUGGCGGUGCCUGUCGGCUCUACGCGUAGUAAUACUCCUCGCGAUUGAGUCCGGUAGGUCUACUUGCCAGCAACCCCCAAUUUUUACAGGUUGACCUCGGAUCAGGUAGGGAUACCCGCUGAACUUAAGCAUAUCAAUAAGCGGAGGA
Molecule: unclassified non-coding RNA, 329 nt
Filed under: soil metagenome
Description: partial contains 5.8S ribosomal RNA, internal transcribed spacer 2, and large subunit ribosomal RNA
Rfam family: 5.8S ribosomal RNA (bases 1-120)
Source: RNAcentral